Etheostoma cragini (Arkansas darter) is the source of this 101-nucleotide long non-coding RNA. RefSeq lists it as uncharacterized. The record is from RefSeq and is a predicted model, not a curated record. NCBI's taxonomy places the organism in Eukaryota, Metazoa, Chordata, Actinopteri, Perciformes, Percidae. The transcript is spliced from 4 exons.
UAAUUUAAAUGACAUAAUACCUAUUUUUUUACAGUUUUAAAAAAGCAGAAAUUAUGAAUUAUUUUGACUAAUAGUUAAAAUCAGAGGAUGUUGAAUGGGUC